CAUCACCUCCUGCAGUUUAUUAGAGCUCUGCGGUUCCUGCUAGUCUCUCCUGCUCCAUGUCAGCAGAAAUGCUGUAUAGGAAGAUGGAAAAGGAAUCAGAGUCAUCAUUUUAUUUGAUGUUGAGAGAUACAAUAAGAUUGGAUAAGAUGAGCUUUGUUAUUAAUGAUCUAGAUUCAGAUCCUGGAC
RNAcentral lists this long non-coding RNA (186 nucleotides) under Dasypus novemcinctus (nine-banded armadillo). RNAcentral describes it as "lncRNA (ENSDNOG00000050468.1)". Lineage: Eukaryota; Metazoa; Chordata; Mammalia; Cingulata; Dasypodidae. The record is from RNAcentral.